GACGAACGCUGGCGGCGUGCUUAACACAUGCAAGUCGAACGAUGAAGCGGUGCUUGCACCGUGGAUUAGUGGCGAACGGGUGAGUAAUACGUGAGUGACCUACCUUUGACUCUGGGAUAAGCCUGGGAAACUGGGUCUAAUACCGGAUACGACCAAUCUCUGCAUGGGGUGUUGGUGGAAAGCGUUAUGGAGUGGUUUUAGAUGGGCUCACGGCCUAUCAGCUUGUUGGUGGGGUAAUGGCUUACCAAGGCGACGACGGGUAGCCGGCCUGAGAGGGUGACCGGCCACACUGGGACUGAGACACGGCCCAGACUCCUACGGGAGGCAGCAGUGGGGAAUAUUGCACAAUGGGCGCAAGCCUGAUGCAGCGACGCCGCGUGAGGGAUGACGGCCUUCGGGUUGUAAACCUCUGUUAGCAUCGAAGAAGCGAAAGUGACGGUAGGUGCAGAGAAAGCGCCGGCUAACUACGUG
This 471-nucleotide ribosomal RNA is filed under the name uncultured bacterium. RNAcentral describes it as "partial 16S ribosomal RNA". It matches the Rfam family "Bacterial small subunit ribosomal RNA", at positions 28 to 507 of the family's 1533-position model. The record is from RNAcentral.